RNAcentral lists this ribosomal RNA (490 nucleotides) under uncultured bacterium. Its description in RNAcentral is "partial 16S ribosomal RNA". It matches the Rfam family "Bacterial small subunit ribosomal RNA", at positions 30 to 507 of the family's 1533-position model. The record is from RNAcentral.
AUUGAAUGCUGGCGGCAGGCCUAACACAUGCAAGUCGAACGGUAACAGGAAGCAGCUUGCUGCUUUGCUGACGAGUGGCGGACGGGUGAGUAAUGUCUGGGAAACUGCCCGAUGGAGGGGGAUAACUACUGGAAACGGUAGCUAAUACCGCAUAACGUCGCAAGACCAAAGAGGGGGACCUUAGGGCCUCUUGCCAUCGGAUGUGCCCAGAUGGGAUUAGCUAGUAGGUGGGGUAACGGCUCACCUAGGCGACGAUCCCUAGCUGGUCUGAGAGGAUGACCAGCCACACUGGAACUGAGACACGGUCCAGACUCCUACGGGAGGCAGCAGUGGGGAAUAUUGCACAAUGGGCGCAAGCCUGAUGCAGCCAUGCCGCGUGUAUGAAGAAGGCCUUCGGGUUGUAAAGUACUUUUAGCGGGGAGGAAGGGAGUUAAGUUAAUACCUUUGCUGAUUGACGUUACCCGCAGAAGAAGCACCGGCUAACUCCGUG